CGACUUUCCCAAGAUCUCUUUGUGAGUUCUUGAGGAGAGUUUCGCGGAUCUCUUUGUGAGUUCCGAGAUUCUCAAGAUCUCUUUGUGAGUUCUUGAGGAGAGUUUCGUGGAUCUCUGUGUGAGUUCCGACAUCCCUACAAUCUCCUUUGAGAUCUUGAAGUUUAAGAGCGUGAGGUUAGAAAUUCCAAGAUUUCCCCAAACUUCUCAUCCUCUACCAAGCUCGGGCUUUUCCUCCCCAAGUUCUCCUUGCCGCCGGCCCUGUUGGCCCGUCCAGAAAUUCACCCGCCGGCCAUCCCUUAGGCCGACGCCCACCAACCCCCACCUCCCCCUCUCUUCCUCCUUGGAAUAAAGAAAUUUCUUAAUUAGGAGAGGCUCACAAUUAAUGACAAUUCAAAUUCAAAAUUUGAAUUUGAAUUAGCAUUAAUUACUCCUUAAAUUCGUCCCUCCAAUUAAGCCAAUAACUAUUAAUUUAAAUCUGAAAUUUAAUUUGAAUUUGAUUUCAGAUUUAAAUCAAUUAAUCAUUUAACACUCCCAAUUAAUGACAAUUCAAAUUCAAAAUUUGAAUUUGAAUUAGCUUUAAUUACUCCUUAAUUUCAUAUUUCCAUUCUCUCUCCACAAAUUGAUUUGGGCUUUAAUUAAUCUUGCCACCUAGGCAAGUAUAUGGCAUUUACGUUUCACAUCACCUUCCUACAAGCCCAGAAUUGUAGGAAAACCUCUCAUAUUUCUUAGCCUCCAUAGGAAACCCUUUCAUUCUUCUAAAACUCAAAAUUAUGAGAGUGUACAUCUCUCUUUGAACACCAAAUAAUCAAAGAAUAUUCAUGAGCUUGGAACCUCCGGGUUGCACAUCUCUUCCCACAUUUACCUAACAUUUCAUUGAACACAAAAUUCGAUGAAUCACUCUUCAACUUGCAACCCUUAAGUUGCAUACCACUUCCUACAUUUACUUAAAACAUGAUUUUGGUAAAUGAUCAUGCGUCAUUGAACACAAUGUUCAAUGAUUUACCCUACUAUAUGCAACCCACAAGUUAAAUAUCAUUUCUCUCUUUCUAUAACUCAAAGGUUGUAGAAAAAUCUGCUAAUUUUUCUAACCUAAUUAGGAGUGUACAUCCUUCUUUGAACAUAAAAUGUUCAAAGAAGAUUCAAGAAUUUGCAACUCCUAAGUUGUAUUUUCUUCCUUUCAUCCCUCCAACUCAAGUUGGAAGAAUGAACCCCUCUCUUUGAAUCCCUAAAUGUUCAAAGAAACUUAUGGCGACUUGUGGUCUAAAUCUACAUGUCUCCUUGUAUUUGCCCAAUACAAAAUAGGUAGAUAAUCACCCCUCUUUGAACACCAAAUGUUCAAAGAGCUUCCUCAAAUUUGCAACAUCUAAGUUGCAUUUUCAUUGUCAUCUUCUACAAGCCAAGAUUAUAGGAAAACAUUCAAAUUAUCCAUCAUUUGCCUAUACCUGAAUUAGGAAAAUAAUUAGAUUCUUUUGAACAUCAAAUGUUCAAAGAAUAUUCAUAAAUUUGCAACUCCCAAGUUGCAUUUUCUCCCCCUCUCAUUUCUCCAACCCGAGUUGGAUGAAUGAUUCCUCCUCUUUAAACAUCAAAAAAAUCAAAGUGCACUCCUCAAUUUGCAACCUACAAGUUGCACUUAUGCUUCCUUGCUUCUAAAACUCAUGAGUUGUAGGGAAUCUCUUCAUUCUCCUAAUCUAAAUUGGAUGAAUGAAUAUCUUUCUUUGAACAUCUCAAAGUUCAAAGAAAUUUCAUAUGAUUUGUGAUCCACACUUAUGUAUCAUACUCCCACAUCUACCUAAUCCAACUUAGUUUGAUGAUUACAUCGCAUUGAAGAGAAAAUUCAAUGAUUCAUUCUUAGUUUGCAUACCUCCAAGUUGCAUACUACACUUCUCUCUCCUACAAUUCAAAAGUUGUAGGAAAUCCCCCCGAAUUUACUUAACCAAAGUUAGGUGAGUGAGCAUCUUCCCUUGAACAUCUAAAAGUUCAAGGAAAACUCCCUAUGAUUUGAAAUCCAAAUUCAUAUACAUUAUCCCAAAUCAAGUUUGAAGAAUGAACACUCUUCAUUGGGCAUCUAAAAAUUCAAAAGAAAUUCAUUAGGUCUUGUAGCCAACAUCUGCAUGUCAUCAUUUCUUGUUUUCCUUUACAAAUUAGGCAAAUCAACUUGCAUUAUUGAACACAAAGUUCAAUAAUUGAUCCAUGACUUGUGACCCAAAAUUACAAGUCAUCCCUCUUCUCUAUGGGCUCCAAUAGCCUUAGAGAAAUCUCCAACUCUUGACCACCAAGCUAUGAGUUUCAUUCCUUUCUCCCUAGCUCCAAAAGUUAAGAAAAUCCUCCAACAUCUAGCACAAAAGUUAUAUGUUGGACAUCUCUCUCUUAGACCCAAACUCUAAGUAUUAUUUCAUUCAACAUAACAUUGAUCUUCUCCUUCCAUGACAUUUAAAAUAUAUAACAUUUAGAUAUCUCUUAGGAGUCUCUCUCCAUUGAAAUUCAUCUUACCAAAUUAGAUGAAUUUCGCAAAGUCCUAAGUAUAACCCUUAAGCAUGUUCACCUUACACUAAUAGGAGAACAUUCAUCUCUUAUCCAAACACUAAGUGAACUUUAUAAAUCUUUAAAAUUGUCUAUGUUUCUUUUAAUAUAAUAAUUAAUCGUCCCACCCAAAAGGUGGGAUGCCUACAUCAUUAUAUCUUAGGACUUCAUAAGUGGCAGGCUUGCCUCAAGGCAAGCAGUGAUUGUUUUAUGGGUUCUUCAUAACCCUCCUAAAUAUGAAACAAAUUAAAAGAAAAAUAAAAUGUGUAAGUUACAAACAACUAAAAGAGAAAUCACCCUUGGAUUAAGAUUACAAGUUUUCUUUCAUCAAUAAAACAAAAACACUUUCCUUAGUGACAUACCACAUAGUCUGCACGCACUUAGGAGAAAUUAAGAUUUUUUUUUGUUUCAGCGUAUGAAUUUGAUGUUGUGGUGUGAUGCUAUCAAAUGUUUCUGUAAUUUUUAUUUUUAUUUGAACAAUAGUAUAUUUUAUGCUCUUUUCUUUUUUUUAGCUAUCCAAUGAUGGGAAAGCAUCCAAUGAUCAUGGUAGGUUGUGCAUAAGGCUUGGUAGACCUUUGGUUUGCUGGCUCGAUUGGUCCUUGGCUGCUGAUGGUUCACGUGUUGGCUGUUUUGAAGCAUAUGGUGUUGAGCUUGUUCUCUUAGUUGUUUGAGCUGGAGUUUAGUAGCUCAUUAAUUCUCUAAAGGUAUCUCAUUAAGAAAGAUUUACUUUUGGAGUGGCCUUGUCCCUUCCCCUUCCCCUUUCUUCUUGUCUCUUGAGAAACCGUGGCUUGUUUAAUGCAUAAGAAUUAAAAUGGGGUUACUGUUUUCCGUGCUUUGCCUCUUGGGUUUCUGGAUGGCUGCUGUUUUUUUCAUGCCUGGGAUGAUUCUCGUGGCUGUGGUUGUGGCUCCUUGGUUCCGUGCUGCCCCCUUGUCUCCCGCGGCUGCUGCUUCGGUUCCUGGGUUUGGAAUGUUUUCCGAAAAGAUCGGGGGGGAUUUCUGUGCUAAUGGUGCUUCGGUUCUAGUGGAAAUUAAUGUUAUGUGGCUUUUGGCAUUCCCCUACCUUGCCUAUAAAUAUGGGAAGAUAUUGUGAAGAAAAUCAGUUGAUUAUUGUGAGCAAAAUUGCUAUUGACCUGCAGGUUAUUGGAAAAGCUUGCGAGCUUUGUCCGCCUUCUUUCUCAGCCCCUCCGAAAAUUGCGAGCUCUUUCCAACCUUUCUUCUCGGCUUCUAACCACUUUCGGCUCUCCGCAAGUGUCACUCCAUCUGUAUCUUUCUUCUCAAAAGUAAAGCAACUUUAGGGUGUCGUGUCUUGGUUGAUUUGGAAGCAUUUGGACAAUCUUGCAAUGGUGGACCAUCAGUUUGCUAGUCUUAUGUACUUAUCUUAUUUAACCUACAAUUCGAUGCAUGUGAGGAACCCGCUCUAACGGUUGUCUGAGGAUAGUGUCUUUUAUUUUUCUUUAUUUCCUUAAAAUCUCUUAGUGUUUUCUUGUUGAAUUUUGAAGUCUUAGUAGUUUGCUUUUAUUUUAAUAAAGUUUGGUUUAAGUUAUAUCCAUUGUUCUCUUUGUGUCGGUUUUCUUACUUGUGUGUCUACAUCAUGGUGUGAUGCACAUUUGAAUGUCUGCAUUAUGGACACUUUCCCUUAAGUAGUUAGUGUAGAAAUAUUGCAUGCUCUUUUUUUUUGUGCAGGUGAUCAUGUCUAAGAGAGGGUGAAAUAAAUAGUACAUAAAAAUGCUUGCUAAUAGGUGCUACUUAAAACUCUCCAAAGAGGCAUGACUAAUAGGAUAGAAACAAGGAUUAGCACUUCAAGUACUAGGCAAUUCUGGAUGUGAUAUUUCUGUUAUGGGGCUGUUUGGUUUGCAUAAUUAGUAGGGUAAAGGAUAUAAUUUACGCGCGUUUCUCAAUUUCGGUCGUUUGGUUGGCUUUCAGCGGAACGAAAGGAAUACCUCCGAAGCAAUAGCGGGGUAUUAGGGGAGGCAGUUCGCGCGACUUCGAAACCUGCUCAAAUUGAGCGGGUUAGAAAUUCUUUGGCGGAUGUUGCGCGAUGAUUUUGCCGAAGCUGACCAAUAUUCUCCCUUCUUCUCCGUUCUUCCUUGCUCUCUUCUCCAUUCCUGGGCUCUUCUCCCUUUUCUCUGACGUUCCUGCAUCGUGGCUGCUUGGUCUGCUUCGCCUGGUUCCGCAAAACUGUCGUGGAGCUCUUCCUUCACUUCGGCGUCGGCUGACGUGGGAUACCCCGACGGACAACCUUCUCCAGUCCGCAAGCUCUACGACCUCCCUCUCCUAAGGCAUAAGAAGGAGCUAGUCUCUUCUAGCCCCGUUUCUUCUUCAGGUCUUCACCUCUCUCGUUAUUUCCUUUCAAAUCUCUCUCGUUUCCUUUUAUUUUUCCUCCCACUUAUUUGUCUGCUUCUAAUUUUUCCUCUUUUUUUUCUUGAUGUUCUUCUUUCUUUGCAGUAUAUGAAGAAACCUCUAUUUUUCCAGUAUAUAAACAAUGCAAAUGGAAUAUUGUAAACAUUCGCUUUCAGAACACUUGGAUUCCUUCAACUCCAAGCGAGUGUGGCCCUGGUUGCAUAAUGCCCUUAAAUUUUAGAUUAAAUGGUCUUAGGGAGUGAAGCGCAGAGGAUUAAUUUAUGCAUCUCUUCGUUGCAAUUAUUAGCAUACGUUUAUUUAUCUAUAGUGAACAUAUUUGUUUGGAACUUCAACAAUUUGAUCGGUAAGUGUUUGAUAAAAUGCUUAGUUUCUGUUUGUUUA
Long non-coding RNA from Dendrobium catenatum, 5262 nucleotides. RefSeq lists it as uncharacterized. The record is from RefSeq and is a predicted model, not a curated record. Lineage: Eukaryota; Viridiplantae; Streptophyta; Magnoliopsida; Asparagales; Orchidaceae. The transcript has 2 exons.